Molecule: ribosomal RNA, 497 nt
Filed under: uncultured bacterium
Lineage: Bacteria
Description: partial 16S ribosomal RNA
Rfam family: Bacterial small subunit ribosomal RNA
Source: RNAcentral
GAUGAACGCUGGCGGCGUGCCUAAUACAUGCAAGUCGAGCGAACGGACGAGAAGCUUGCUUCUCUGAUGUUAGCGGCGGACGGGUGAGUAACACGUGGAUAACCUACCUAUAAGACUGGGAUAACUUCGGGAAACCGUAGCUAAUACCGGAUAAUAUUUUGAACCGCAUGGUUCAAAAGUGAAAGACGGUCUUGCUGUCACUUAUAGAUGGACCCGCGCUGCAUUAGCUAGUUGGUAAGGUAACGGCUUACCAAGGCAACGAUGCAUAGCCGACCUGAGAGGGGGAUCGGCCACACGGGAGCUUGGACACGGUCCAGACUCCUACGGGAGGCAGCAGUAGGGAAUCUUCCGCAAUGGGCGAAAGCCUGACGGAGCAACGCCGCGUGAGUGAUGAAGGUCUUCGGAUCGUAAAACUCUGUUAUUAGGGAUGAACAUAUGUGUAAGUAACUGUGCACAUCUUGACGGUACCUAAUCAGAAAGCCACGGCUAACUACGUG